CUUAAGGCAGCAUCAGGCAUAGCUUGAUCUGAGCCGCAAGUUUAUACCGGCCUGCCAAUGGUAAGAGGAGCCCAGGUCCCCUCAGGGGGAGUGGCCAGGCAGGCAUCUGACUGAUCCCAUCACAGGAAACCCUCUCCUUGUCUGUCUAAGAAAAAAAAAAAAGGAAGAAACUGUCAUAACUGUUUACAUGCCCUAAAGUCAACUGUUUGUUUUAUAUUGAUUGUUCUGUUCAGUGUCUAUUGUCUUGUUAGUAGUUGUCAAAGUUUUGCAUGUCAAGACGUUGAUAUUGCCCAAGACGUCUAAGUAAAAACUUCUUCAAAGUCCUUAGUGCUGAUUUUUUGUCACAGGAGGUUAAAUUUCUCAUCAAUCAUUUAGGCUGACCACCACAGUCCUGUCUUUUCUGCCAGAAGCAAGUCAAGUGUUGUUACAAGAACAAGUGUGAAAAACAUUUGCCUGAUUAAGAUUUCUAGCACCAUGAAAGUUGUACAAGAUAUUAUCCUGCCACUUGUUUGAGGAGCCCUUCCCAAUCCAAUUCCUGACCAGAAAAAGUCCUGCCAUUCAUUCCAGCCAGGAGACCUAGCAUUUGUUAAAAAGUUCCAAAAAGAAAGACUCACUCCUGCUUAGAAAAGACCUCACACCGUCAUCCUCACGACUCCAACUGCUCUGAAAGUAGGCGGCAUUCCUGCUAGAUUCAUCACUCCCGCAUCAAAAAGUCCAACAGAGCCCAGCUCAAAACAUAAGUCCCCAGGCCUAAGUCAGGCCCCUUAAAACUGCACCUAAGUCAGGUGAAGCCAUUAGAUUCAUUCUUUUUGUCUACCUCACUUAUUUGUUUUUGCCAGUUACAUCCUCUGUGCCUUCCUACUCCUUUCUCCUCACCUCUUUCACAACAGGACGUGUAUUUGCAAACACCACUUAGAAGGUCCGUACCUCCAAGGAAGUCUCCUUUGCAGUUGAUUUAUUUGUACUAUUCCCAAAGCCAGCCCACACCCACAAAAACAACACCAUCUGCCAGUCCCAGGAGCAGGAAGUGUCGACCUUGCAGCAAGAUUCAGACACUCCAAGAGCCAAACUAAUUGCAGAAGCUCCAAAAGUGCAGAAAAAAAGACUCCAAAAUGUUGACUUUUACCUCUGUCCUAGAAAUCACCCUGACGCUAGCUGUCAAGAUGCUUAUCAGUUUUUCUGCCCUGAUUAGACAUGUGUAACUUUAGCCACCUACUCUAAAAGAUCAACCAGAUCUUCAACUCUUUCCAUAACUCGUGCUUCUCAUCCUAAAUUAUGUACUAGAAAAAACUGUAAUCCUCUAACUGUCCAUGACCUUAAUUCAACUCAAUAGUAUCAUGGCAUGUCAUGAACAUUAAGAUUUUAUAUCCCAGGAUUUAAUGUUAAGUAUAUGUUCACCAUCCAAAAAAACCCUAGUCUCAUAAAGCCCACCCAAGUCAAUCAGGCCUUUAACUGAUCUAAGUAACCCUAUGUUCCAGGAACACCCUGACAAAGUUGAUUUAACUGUUCCUCCACCUUUCUUAGUCAUAAAAGAUACACUCCAAAAAGUGCAAGAAAAUCUAGAAAAGCGCCAACAAGAACAAGAAAGUAACAUCCCCUAGUAUCAACGCAUGUUCAACUAGAACCCAUAGCUAACCACUCUAAUUACUAAGUUAGCUGGACCCCCUCCCCAUCCUACUAAUAAGUCUAAUUUUGGGGCAUUGUAUAUUAAGUUAGUUUCUUAAUUUUGUAAAACAACGAAUAGCUUCUGUCAAACUUAUGUAUCUGAAGACUCAAAAUAACCCCCUUUUUAUAACUGAAGAAUCAACGAUUUGAUUCCCCAAAAACACAAGUGAGGAAUGUAAUGCCCAACCAUGUUUUUACUCACCCUGUUUUUAGACUCUCCCUUUCUUUUAAUGACCUAGCCUUGUUUCCACCUGAAUUGACUCUCCCUUAGCUAAGAGAGCCAGACAGAUUCCAUCUUGGCUCUUUCACUGGCAGCCCCUUCCUCAGGGACUUAACUUGUGCAAGCUGACUCCCAGCACAUCGAAGAAUGCAAUUAACUGAUAAGAUACUGUGGCGAGCAAUAUCCGCAGUUCCCAGGAAUUCAUCCGAUUGAUAACGCCCAAAGCCCCGCGUCUAUCACCUUAUAAUAGUGUUAAAGGCCCUAGACCUAAAACUGUUUACUUUCCUGUAACAAUUUAUCCUUUUAACUUUUUUGUCUACUUUACUUAUGUAAAAUUGUUUUAACUAGAACCCCCUCCCCUUUCUAAACCAAAGUAUAAAAGAAAAUCUUAGCCCCUUCUUCGAAGCCGAGAGAACUUUAAACGUUAGCCGUUUCUUUGCCGCCGGCUAAGUAAACAGACUCUUAAUUCAUCUCAAAGUGUAGCGUUUUCUCAAACUCGCUCAAGAACAACACAUCCAGCAGGCAAGUCAUCCACUCUAAAAUGCCAUCCUGGGGUAGUGAAGAUGAUGUUGCUGGAAAUAUCCUUAAAUGGCAUGUGGAUGAGUUCCCCCAGAGGCAUACAUGUUGAGCUAAGAACUUUGCUGAUGAAGGGUACAAGUUGAAGGGGUUU
This 2555-nucleotide long non-coding RNA is filed under the name Homo sapiens (human). RNAcentral describes it as "HSALNT0068344". The record is from RNAcentral. Lineage: Eukaryota; Metazoa; Chordata; Mammalia; Primates; Hominidae.